This 496-nucleotide ribosomal RNA is filed under the name uncultured bacterium. Its description in RNAcentral is "partial 16S ribosomal RNA". It matches the Rfam family "Bacterial small subunit ribosomal RNA", at positions 29 to 507 of the family's 1533-position model. The record is from RNAcentral.
AUGAACGCUGGCGGCGUGCCUAAUACAAGCAAGUCGAGCGAACAGACGAGGAGCUUGCUCCUCUGACGUUAGCGGCGGACGGGUGAGUAACACGUGGAUAACCUACCUAUAAGACUGGGAUAACUUCGGGAAACCGGAGCUAAUACCGGAUAAUAUAUUGAACCGCAUGGUUCAAUAGUGAAAGACGGUUUUGCUGUCACUUAUAGAUGGAUCCGCGCCGCAUUAGCUAGUUGGUAAGGUAACGGCUUACCAAGGCGACGAUGCGUAGCCGACCUGAGAGGGUGAUCCGCCACACUGGAACUGAGACACGGUCCAGACUCCUACGGGAGGCAGCAGUAGGGAAUCUUCCGCAAUGGGCGAAAGCCUGACGGAGCAAAGCCGCGUGAGUGAUGAAGGUCUUCGGAUCGUAAAACUCUGUUAUUAGGGAAGAACAAAUGUGUAAGUAACUAUGCACGUCUUGACGGUACCUAAUCAGAAAGCCACGGCUAACUACGUG